UACGUAGGUGGCGAGCGUUGUCCGGAUUUACUGGGCGUAAAGGGAGCGUAGGCGGACUUUUAAGUGAGAUGUGAAAUACUCGGGCUCAACUUGAGUGCUGCAUUUCAAACUGGAAGUCUAGAGUGUAGGAGAGGAGAAUGGAAUUCCUAGUGUAGCGGUGAAAUGCGUAGAGAUUAGGAAGAACACCAGUGGCGAAAGCGAUUCUCUGGACUGUAACUGACGCUGAGGCUCGAAAGCGUGGGGAGCAAACAGG
RNAcentral lists this ribosomal RNA (253 nucleotides) under uncultured bacterium. RNAcentral describes it as "partial 16S ribosomal RNA". It matches the Rfam family "Bacterial small subunit ribosomal RNA", at positions 524 to 776 of the family's 1533-position model. The record is from RNAcentral.